This 885-nucleotide ribosomal RNA is filed under the name Leptosporella gregaria. RNAcentral's name for it is "eukaryotic LSU rRNA". It matches the Rfam family "Eukaryotic large subunit ribosomal RNA", at positions 30 to 950 of the family's 3401-position model. Lineage: Eukaryota; Fungi; Ascomycota; Sordariomycetes; Chaetosphaeriales; Leptosporellaceae. The record is from RNAcentral.
GGGCUUAGCAUAUCAAUAAGCGGAGGAAAAGAAACCAACAGGGAUUGCCCCAGUAACGGCGAGUGAAGCGGCAACAGCUCAAAUUUGAAAUCUGGCCCCCGGGCCCGAGUUGUAAUUUGUAGAGGAUGCUUCGGGCGCGGCGCCUUCAGAGUCCCCUGGAACGGGGCGCCACAGAGGGUGAGAGCCCCGUACGGUUGGACGCCUAGCCCGUGUGAAGCUCCUUCAACGAGUCGAGUAGUUUGGGAAUGCUGCUCAAAAUGGGAGGUAAGUUCCUUCUAAAGCUAAAUACUGGCCAGAGACCGAUAGCGCACAAGUAGAGUGAUCGAAAGAUGAAAAGCACUUUGAAAAGAGGGUUAAAUAGCACGUGAAAUUGCUGAAAGGGAAGCGCUUGUGACCAGACGCGCGCCGGGCGGAUCAUCCAGCGUUCUCGCUGGUGCACUCCGCCCGGCGCGGGCCAGCGUCGGUUCUCGCGGGGGGGCAAAGGCGCCGGGAACGUAGCUCCUCCGGGAGCGUUAUAGCCCGCGCUCACGCCCCCGCGGGGACCGAGGUCCGCGCCCUGCAAGGACGCUGGCGUAAUGGUCACCGGCGACCCGUCUUGAAACACGGACCAAGGAGUCAAGGUUUUGCGCGAGUGUACGGGUGGCAAGCCCGCACGCGUAAUGAAAGUGAACGUAGGUGGGAGCUCCGGCGCACCACCGACCGAUCCUGAUGUUCUCGGAUGGAUUUGAGUAAGAGCGCAGUGCCUUGGACCCGAAAGAUGGUGAACUAUGCCUGUAUAGGGUGAAGCCAGAGGAAACUCUGGUGGAGGCUCGCAGCGGUUCUGACGUGCAAAUCGAUCGUCAAAUAUGGGCAUGGGGGCGAAAGACUAAUCGAACCAUCUAUGCG